This 28-nucleotide small RNA is filed under the name Bombyx mori (domestic silkworm). RNAcentral's name for it is "ovarian small RNA-11567". The record is from RNAcentral. Lineage: Eukaryota; Metazoa; Arthropoda; Insecta; Lepidoptera; Bombycidae.
ACGGCAGGAACCUAAAACCAGUGCCGAA